AUGCAAAGCAAAGGGAAGAAGUGGCGGAGUGAAAGAAAAUUGGACCAAAAGGACGGAUUUAGUGGGUCUGAGGUGUCGGAGUCCAACUGUUGUCCGGACUCCGGCAACCCACCCCCAGUUUAUCUCCACAUUGCAGGAGAAAGCGCGUCCGGACCGCCGAGCGAACCGAUACAGGACUGCGUUGUAUGGCUUCCGCGGUCCGGACCGCGGGGUCCAGACGUAUGCGGGCGGUUUGAGGAUUGGUGUUGGAGAUGCCCUAAGAAAAUCUGUAAUUGUUGUGAUGAACUUAUUUUCUGUAUUUGUUUGUUGGAAGCAAUCACAGACUUAAAAAACGAAAAUAGAGUUUUCAAUGUAUUUAUUAUGGGAACCAUCAAUUUCUAUAUUUCAUGGCAGCAAAUCAUGACUUACCAAAAACAACAGAAAAUGGAGAUGCGUAAAUUUUGGAAAGCAGUUUUCAAUUUGGACCGCUAUCUCGCCAUCCGCUGGUACCCGCUUACCAAAAACAACAAAAACAACAGGGUUCAAGGCGGCUCACCCGCUGCUACCCGCUAA
Molecule: ribosomal RNA, 552 nt
Filed under: Triticum aestivum (bread wheat)
Lineage: Eukaryota; Viridiplantae; Streptophyta; Magnoliopsida; Poales; Poaceae
Description: partial small subunit ribosomal RNA
Source: RNAcentral